CAGAGUCUGGAUCAAUCUAGUGGCCAGCCAGAUUGGUCGUGGAGGGGAGCAGGGCUUUAUCAGUCGCGAUCUGAUGUUCUUGGAGUGUGGCAAGACGAACCCAAAGUCCCAUGGCUAAGCACCCUGUUCUUGAUACCGAUGAUGAUUGGUAACUUUCUGCCAUUCAGUGCCAAGAUUGAUAGAGAACUCAGCUAAAUGAAUGCUUACAGAAAACUUUAAUGUGGCUACUCUUCUGAUGUCUGGGAGAAGCGUGACAAUGGAAAAAUGGACAGAGCUCCUGCCUACAGACUCUCGUGAUGAGUUUUCCGUGCUUAUAGAGGAAGGCAAAUUGAUUUCUCGUGCGUCCCUGCAGGCAGCCUUGGACUCGGCGUAUGCGGCCUCUCGCACCAUUGCUUCAGGGGUGGCUAUGAGAAAGAGUUCCUGGUUGCAGGUCUUGGGCCGACCAUACGAGGUGCAGCACACAAUUCAGGAUUUCCCCUUCGAGGGUCAGUCUCUGUUUUCGGAAAAGACUGAUUCCCAUCUCCACAGCCUCAAGGACUCUCGGGCCACCCUGAAGUCCUCGGUCCUCCACACGCCUGUGACCCAGAGGAGGCACUUCAGGCCUCCCCGACCCAUGAGGAAUUAUCAGCUGCAGGGGAGACAGGAAGGGUCGCAUAGGAGGAACAGGAACUCAAGAAAAAUACCUCCUCUCUCCUCUGGCCAGGGCUCUGGUCAGUCUAAGCCCUCCUCAGGCCGGGAGAAUGCACCAGUUCAGAGACUGGAUCCUCCCUGCUUACCUUUUUGUUCCAUCUAGCCCCUUUCUACCCUGUGUGGGACCGUAU
Molecule: long non-coding RNA, 821 nt
Organism: Mauremys mutica (yellowpond turtle)
Lineage: Eukaryota; Metazoa; Chordata; Testudines; Geoemydidae
Exons: 3
Source: RefSeq, a predicted model, not a curated record